UAGAGUGUAUUAAUAUUUAAUGAAUUAACUGUAUAAAUAUGAAUGAUUCUCUGCACAUUGAGACAUUGUUUGUCUUGUGAACUGUCCUCGCUUGAGCUCCAGAUGAGACGCGCGGGAGAUGUGUGGAGAAACGGGAGAUUUAUUUCUCAUGGAGAAGCGAGUGAGCGACUGAAGCGCUGUCGUUUCUGUUUCCUGAAGGCUUCUUCUUUCUUCAGGAUCUCUAGAGGAUUGCUCUCGCUCUGAAUAAGAGGUCAGGUCGUUUGGAGGCAGGUGAGUGUGUGUGUGUGUGUGUUAAGGAGGCACUCGGCAGCAUUGAGGAGGAGUGAGCGUUACACAAGUCUUCAGAGUUAUCGGCACGCAUGUAUGGUGGGCGUCAGUAUUAGAAAUAAACAGAAAGCUUUCAUGUUCUUCUAAAGGUCACGGAGACUCUGAUAUCGACUCGUGCUGUUCCUCUCGGAGCUUCACAUGAUGAGGGUCGUGGGAGGUCAUCGUUCAAACACUCGCUUGUUCUCCCAUGAAGAGGCCACCGCUGAUCAUCACUGGGACACGCGGCGUCUCGUGUGGGAGUGCAUGAUGGGAUGGAGACACAGGACGGGCUCAUUAGUCCAGCGAGGAGAAACGCCGUAAUGGAGGUGGACUGUAAAUAAGCGGAAGCCCUUCUUGACAAAUGAAUCCAUUAACAUUUCCCUGUGUCGCCUGGCAAGGAGACUUGCCGUUUAUGGGGCAGAAAAGCAGGCCUGUAAAUCUGAGAGUCCACACCGGCCCACGAUGCAGCACUUUAUCUGCCUCUCGCACAGCAUCUUUAUCUGCCUAAAUUAAGUUUUGAUUCCUUGCCACAUACGGUGCCGCAAAUCACUUAUAACGCUGAUAUCAAGAGCGGCGCUGAAGUCGGCCCGUGGCCAUGAAAACCUCUUGAUUUUGUAGCAUCCUCUGUUGUUCGGGGCCGGAUUUAACCCCUGCUGCUCUGCUCAUUUCCCAUGCAUGAUCUCUCGCGGGAAAGGGCGGAGGACGCUCUAGAAAGGGAUGGAGACGAGGUUUAUGGGCAGAAUAAAUCUCCAAUUUAAAUGUGAUUUUAGCACCGCGUGUCAAAGACGGAUUCCCUGACUUCUGUUUCACUUCACAACACCGGCCUGAACUCAGAGACGGAGGACGCCCAUCAUUCACUGGGACGCGUAAUGUCUUUGUUAGCGGAGGAGAAGAGCUGUCGCGGCGGUGACUGACGGGCCUUUCAUCAUUAGCGGACGCUGACGGACAGAUCUGACUGGAGGAGAGCAUCAGUUCUGAGGGGUCUGCGGCCGCCAUUAGUUACUGAAGAACUGGACGAGCUUCUGUGACAUUACGAUGUGCUUUCGCUACAGAAUUUGUUAAAGGGCCAUUCGCUUGAAAUAUCUGCACUGACAGUAAAAUACCAACCAGAGCCAUUAGGUUUGAAGCCCAAUCAAUCUCAUACUUAAAAAAAAUACUAGUGUCUCACAAAAGACAAAAAACAGGCAGAGAGCAUCAGUCGUGGAAAUACAUAUACGCUUACAUUAAGAGGACAGCCAAACAUAGCUAUAGUUGGAGGAGUAAGUCAAACCACUCCACAUAUAGAGUAAUCAAUCAGUGUGCUUCGUUAGAGUAAACCCACAGCAAUUUAUAGUCACUUUCCCAACUCCUGAUUUUAAUUUUAAUACUGCAAAGCAAAUAAAAAAAUCUAUAUUCUCACACACACUGCAUUUACCAAGCAUCACGAAUUAGCAUAAUAAUAACUCAGGGCAGGAAAUACUGUAAUCAUAGUUUGGUCAAGUUUGAAUCUGUUUCCAUGAGUAAUAGAUAAUGUUCUCUCAGGCCCAUCAGCAAAAAAAGCAAUUUCCCUCCCGCUGGUAAUUCAGAGUGAAACACCACGAGAUGUCAGAUUCUCUCCGACAUCAUUGUUCAUGCCACAAAAACGAGACGAGUCGACGCAGCGGUCACGCUUUCUCUCAUCUCAGCAUUACUGCCGUUUAUUUACAGACUGGAGAUCGUUUCUCAUCUACGCCUGAAACUAAAAUAGAAGAUAAACAAGUCUGAAUUAAUUCAUCUUUGUGGGUUGGUGUAAUUUUUUAAUGUCUUUGAGCUGCUCACCAAAGCUGUAUUUAUUUUAGCAAAAAUACAGUAAAAAUACUCACAUUUAAAAUAUC
Molecule: long non-coding RNA, 2159 nt
Organism: Pimephales promelas (fathead minnow)
Lineage: Eukaryota; Metazoa; Chordata; Actinopteri; Cypriniformes; Leuciscidae
Source: RefSeq, a predicted model, not a curated record